RNAcentral lists this ribosomal RNA (321 nucleotides) under Nimbapanchax petersi. RNAcentral describes it as "partial 12S rRNA". It matches the Rfam family "Bacterial small subunit ribosomal RNA", at positions 868 to 1354 of the family's 1533-position model. Lineage: Eukaryota; Metazoa; Chordata; Actinopteri; Cyprinodontiformes; Nothobranchiidae. The record is from RNAcentral.
UUCGCCGGGGGACUACGAGCACAAGCUUAAAACCCAAAGGACUUGGCGGUGCUUUAGACCCACCUAGAGGAGCCUGUUCUAGAACCGAUAACCCCCGUUAAACCUCACCCUUUCUUGCCAUUACCGCCUAUAUACCGCCGUCGUCAGCUUACCCUAUGAAGGAAGAACAGUAAACGAAAUCGGUUUAAACCCAAAACGUCAGGUCGAGGUGUAGCGAAUGAAAGGGAAAGAAAUGGGCUACAUUUCCUAAUGCAGGAAAUCACGGAAAUAUAUUAUGAAAAAAUAUAUGAAGGAGGAUUUAGCAGUAAAUAGAAAACAGAG